UACAGAGGUCUCAAGCGUUGUUCGGAUUCAUUGGGCGUAAAGGGUGCGUAGGCGGCGCGGUAAGUCGGGUGUGAAAUCUCGGGGCUUAACUCCGAAACUGCAUUCGAUACUGCCGUGCUUGAGGACUGGAGAGGAGACUGGAAUUUACGGUGUAGCGGUGAAAUGCGUAGAUAUCAGGAGGAACACCGAUGGCGAAGGCAGGUCUCUGGGCCGGUACUGACGCUGAGACGCGAAAGCGUGGGGAGCAAACAGG
Molecule: ribosomal RNA, 253 nt
Filed under: uncultured bacterium
Lineage: Bacteria
Description: partial 16S ribosomal RNA
Rfam family: Bacterial small subunit ribosomal RNA
Source: RNAcentral